This 409-nucleotide small RNA is filed under the name Paenibacillus aquistagni. Its description in RNAcentral is "cspA thermoregulator". It matches the Rfam family "cspA thermoregulator". Lineage: Bacteria; Bacillati; Bacillota; Bacilli; Caryophanales; Paenibacillaceae. The record is from Rfam by way of RNAcentral.
CUAGGGAUGUCAGUCUCAAUGGGCUUUUGUCGAAAAAUAAUUUUUUUCCAAUAUUAACAUUGACACCGCUUCCAGCGGGUGAUAUAGUCGAAAUUGUGAGGACCAUCCUCACGGAUUUGAAGAUGAAGGGAUGUAUUUACAUGCAAGGUAAAGUUAAAUGGUUCAACGCAGAAAAAGGUUACGGCUUCAUCGAAACUGCAGAAGGUAACGACGUAUUCGUUCACUUCUCCGCUAUCCAAUCCGAAGGCUUCAAGACUUUGGAAGAAGGCCAAGCUGUAGAAUUUGAUAUCGUGGAAGGCGCUCGCGGACCACAAGCUGCUAACGUAAUCAAAUUGUAAUUAUACCGGCAAUCGCCGUAUUUUAUAUGAUUUCGAUUAGCUAACCCUCAGCUUUCGCUGGGGGUUUUUAU